This 405-nucleotide ribosomal RNA is filed under the name uncultured bacterium. RNAcentral describes it as "partial 16S ribosomal RNA". It matches the Rfam family "Bacterial small subunit ribosomal RNA", at positions 30 to 526 of the family's 1533-position model. The record is from RNAcentral.
AUUGAACGCUGGCGGCAGGCUUAACACAUGCAAUUCGAACGAGUGUCGGACUGGUGAGUAAUGCUUGGGCAUCUAGCUUAUGGAGGUGGAUAUCUACGGGCAACUGUAGCUAAUACCGCGUACCAUCGGAUGAGCCCAAGUGGGAUUAGGUAGUUGGUGAGGUAAAGGCUCACCAAGCCGACGAUCUCUAGCUGGUCUGAGAGGAUGACCAGCCAAACUGGGACUGAGACACGGCCCAGACUCGUACGGGAGGCAGAAGGGGGGAAUAUUGCGCAAUGGGGGCAACCUGACGCAGCCAUGCCGCGGGAAUGAAGAAGGCCUUCGGGUUGUAAAGUUCUUUCGGUAGCGAUGCGUUAACUACAGAAGAAGCACCGGCUAACUCCGUGCCAGCAGCCGCGGUAAUUU